ACGAACGCUGGCGGCGUGCUUAACACAUGCCAGUCGAACGGAAAGGCCCUGCUUUUGUGGGGUGCUCGAGUGGCGAACGGGUGAGUAACACGUGAGUAACCUGCCCUUGACUUUGGGAUAACUUCAGGAAACUGGGGCUAAUACCGGAUAGGAGCUCCUGCUGCAUGGUGGGGGUUGGAAAGUUUCGGCGGUUGGGGAUGGACUCGCGGCUUAUCAGCUUGUUGGUGGGGUAGUGGCUUACCAAGGCUUUGACGGGUAGCCGGCCUGAGAGGGUGACCGGCCACAUUGGGACUGAGAUACGGCCCAGACUCCUACGGGAGGCAGCAGUGGGGAAUAUUGCACAAUGGGCGGAAGCCUGAUGCAGCAACGCCGCGUGCGGGAUGACGGCCUUCGGGUUGUAAACCGCUUUCGCCUGUGACGAAGCGUGAGUGACGGUAAUGGGUAAAGAAGCACCGGCUAACUACGUGC
This 468-nucleotide ribosomal RNA is filed under the name uncultured bacterium. RNAcentral describes it as "partial 16S ribosomal RNA". It matches the Rfam family "Bacterial small subunit ribosomal RNA", at positions 29 to 508 of the family's 1533-position model. The record is from RNAcentral.